AUACGGAGGACGCGAGCGUUAUCCGGAUUCAUUGGGUUUAAAGGGUGCGCAGGCGGCCGUGCAAGUCAGCGGUGAAAGCCCGGGGCCCAACCCCGGAAGUGCCGUUGAUACUGCAUGGCUUGAAUGCGGUCGAGGCGGGCGGAACGGGGCGUGUAGCGGUGAAAAGCGUAGAUAUGCCACAGAACGCCGAUAGCGGAGGCAGCUCGCCAGGCCUGCAUUGACGCUCGGGCACGAAAGCGUGGGGAUCGAACAGGAUUAGAUACCCUGGUAGUCCACGCCGUAAACGAUGGGCGCUCGUCGUCGGCGGCAGACAGUCGGCGGCCAAGCGAAAGCGAUAAGCGCCCCACCUGGGGAGUACGGUCGCAAGGCUGAAACUCAAAUGAAUUGACGGGG
RNAcentral lists this ribosomal RNA (393 nucleotides) under uncultured bacterium. Its description in RNAcentral is "partial 16S ribosomal RNA". It matches the Rfam family "Bacterial small subunit ribosomal RNA", at positions 523 to 918 of the family's 1533-position model. The record is from RNAcentral.